Molecule: long non-coding RNA, 943 nt
Organism: Lathyrus oleraceus (garden pea)
Lineage: Eukaryota; Viridiplantae; Streptophyta; Magnoliopsida; Fabales; Fabaceae
Exons: 4
Source: RefSeq, a predicted model, not a curated record
UCAGUUUUAACAUGUUCAAGCUAUCAUCACUAUAACAUGAGCAGCUCCGCCACACUGAAGCUCACCACUGGCGACGGCGGAGCACCAAAUGCAUAACCAAAUAUACCAAAUCAAUCCAUUUCCUAAGCCCUAACCAAAUCACAAAUCAAUUUCUACCAAUUCUUCAUAACAACCCCGAAUCGAGCAGAAAAUCUCUAAGAACCCUAACCAAAGAUUCAAAAAUUUAACUCUUAUAUGGAGGAAUCAAAGUCCUUGAGUUUAGGGCUUUAAUUCCCCGACAUCUCCCCUACAUGGUGGUAACUAGAACAAUGCCUGAAGAUGAUGAAAUGGCACCUACCUGCCGGAGAAAUGAAGUUUGAGCUCGGAGCAAACGAAGGUCUUGAUAGUGAUUGUUUUAGGUGAUGGUUGAAUGAAGCGUGUCAAGUGUUGGGGAUUAUAAAUGGUGAUGACCUGCCAAACAGGUUUUGUUGUAGGGGACAGUUGCUUGACAAAUGCAGGUCGUGUUUAAUUUGUAGGUUACAGGUUGAUGACCUGCAGGAGCAGGUUUAGUUGUAACUCAAAUGCAAGGCAAGGUAAUGCAAAAACUGGUUGAAUGGUUAGGUGUUAGGAGCAACUUAAUGGAUGAGCAAUGUUGUCGCAUUCAUGCUGCAGGUCAAGGUUAACAUGGUAGCUGCUUAUGAAUGGUUGUAAGUAUUAGUAUGCAUCAUGUUAGGUUAGGAUCAUGCAUUGUAUCAGGUUGUAGCAGGGCAUGACAUGUAGUAUGUCUAUUUGCACUUAAUGUUUGUGUUUGAUUCAUGUCUCUAAGCCUUAGAUACUUGUUUGCAAAUGUAUGUUUGUAGUUAAAUGUUGGAUUAUGUAUGUGUGUGUGCCUUGAAUCAUGUAUGUAUAUUUAUUGGAUUGCUAAAUGACAUGUUGAGUUCAAGGCUGGCAUGGCAAUUUUGAU